RNAcentral lists this ribosomal RNA (1356 nucleotides) under uncultured bacterium. RNAcentral's name for it is "bacterial SSU rRNA". It matches the Rfam family "Bacterial small subunit ribosomal RNA", at positions 18 to 1395 of the family's 1533-position model. The record is from RNAcentral.
CCUGGCUCAGGACGAACGCUGGCGGCGCGCCUAACACAUGCAAGUCGAACGAGAGAUGAGGAGCUUGCUCUUCAGAUCGAGUGGCGAACGGGUGAGUAACGCGUGAGGAACCUGCCUCAAAGAGGGGGACAACAGUUGGAAACGACUGCUAAUACCGCAUAAGCCCACGGCUCGGCAUCGAGCAGAGGGAAAAGGAGCAAUCCGCUUUGAGAUGGCCUCGCGUCCGAUUAGCUGGUUGGUGAGGUAACGGCCCACCAAGGCGACGAUCGGUAGCCGGACUGAGAGGUUGAACGGCCACAUUGGGACUGAGACACGGCCCAGACUCCUACGGGAGGCAGCAGUGGGGAAUAUUGCACAAUGGGGGAAACCCUGAUGCAGCGACGCCGCGUGGAGGAAGAAGGUCUUCGGAUUGUAAACUCCUGUUGUUGAGGAAGAUAAUGACGGUACUCAACAAGGAAGUGACGGCUAACUACGUGCCAGCAGCCGCGGUAAAACGUAGGUCGCAAGCGUUGUCCGGAAUUACUGGGUGUAAAGGGAGCGCAGGCGGGAGAACAAGUUGGAAGUGAAAUCCAUGGGCUCAACCCAUGAACUGCUUUCAAAACUGUUUUUCUUGAGUAGUGCAGAGGUAGGCGGAAUUCCCGGUGUAGCGGUGGAAUGCGUAGAUAUCGGGAGGAACACCAGUGGCGAAGGCGGCCUACUGGGCGCCAACUGACGCUGAGGCUCGAAAGUGUGGGUAGCAAACAGGAUUAGAUACCCUGGUAGUCCACACCGUAAACGAUGAUUACUAGGUGUUGGAGGAUUGACCCCUUCAGUGCCGCAGUUAACACAAUAAGUAAUCCACCUGGGGAGUACGACCGCAAGGUUGAAACUCAAAGGAAUUGACGGGGGCCCGCACAAGCAGUGGAGUAUGUGGUUUAAUUCGACGCAACGCGAAGAACCUUACCAAGUCUUGACAUCCCUUGACGAACAUAGAAAUAUGUUUUCUCUUCGGAGCAAGGAGACAGGUGGUGCAUGGUUGUCGUCAGCUCGUGUCGUGAGAUGUUGGGUUAAGUCCCGCAACGAGCGCAACCCUUAUGGUCAGUUACUACGCAAGAGGACUCUGGCCAGACUGCCGUUGACAAAACGGAGGAAGGUGGGGAUGACGUCAAAUCAUCAUGCCCUUUAUGACUUGGGCUACACACGUACUACAAUGGCGUUAAACAAAGAGAAGCAAGACCGCGAGGUGGAGCAAAACUCAGAAACAACGUCCCAGUUCGGACUGCAGGCUGCAACUCGCCUGCACGAAGUCGGAAUUGCUAGUAAUCGUGGAUCAGCAUGCCACGGUGAAUACGUUCCCGGGCCUUGCACACACCGCCC